AGUUUGGAUCAUGGCUCAGGACGAACGCUGGCGGCGUGCCUAAUACAUGCAAGUCGAACGAACUCUGGUAUUGAUUGGUGCUUGCAUCAUGAUUUACAUUUGAGUGAGUGGCGAACUGGUGAGUAACACGUGGGAAACCUGCCCAGAAGCGGGGGAUAACACCUGGAAACAGAUGCUAAUACCGCAUAACAACUUGGACCGCAUGGUCCGAGUUUGAAAGAUGGCUUCGGCUAUCACUUUUGGAUGGUCCCGCGGCGUAUUAGCUAGAUGGUGAGGUAACGGCUCACCAUGGCAAUGAUACGUAGCCGACCUGAGAGGGUAAUCGGCCACAUUGGGACUGAGACACGGCCCAAACUCCUACGGGAGGCAGCAGUAGGGAAUCUUCCACAAUGGACGAAAGUCUGAUGGAGCAACGCCGCGUGAGUGAAGAAGGGUUUCGGCUCGUAAAACUCUGUUGUUAAAGAAGAACAUAUCUGAGAGUAACUGUUCAGGUAUUGACGGUAUUUAACCAGAAAGCCACGGCUAACUACGUGCCAGCAGCCGCGGUAAUACGUAGGUGGCAAGCGUUGUCCGGAUUUAUUGGGCGUAAAGCGAGCGCAGGCGGUUUUUUAAGUCUGAUGUGAAAGCCUUCGGCUCAACCGAAGAAGUGCAUCGGAAACUGGGAAACUUGAGUGCAGAAGAGGACAGUGGAACUCCAUGUGUAGCGGUGAAAUGCGUAGAUAUAUGGAAGAACACCAGUGGCGAAGGCGGCUGUCUGGUCUGUAACUGACGCUGAGGCUCGAAAGUAUGGGUAGCAAACAGGAUUAGAUACCCUGGUAGUCCAUACCGUAAACGAUGAAUGCUAAGUGUUGGAGGGUUUCCGCCCUUCAGUGCUGCAGCUAAACGCAUUAAGCAUUCCGCCUGGGGGAGUACGGGCCGCAAGGCUGAAACUCAAAGGAAUUGACGGGGGCCCGCACAAGCGGUGGAGCAUGUGGUUUAAUUCGAAGCUACGCGAAGAACCUUACCAGGUCUUGACAUACUAUGCAAAUCUAAGAGAUUAGACGUUCCCUUCGGGGACAUGGAUACAGGUGGUGCAUGGUUGUCGUCAGCUCGUGUCGUGAGAUGUUGGGUUAAGUCCCGCAACGAGCGCAACCCUUAUUAUCAGUUGCCAGCAUUAAGUUGGGCACUCUGGUGAGACUGCCGGUGACAAACCGGAGGAAGGUGGGGAUGACGUCAAAUCAUCAUGCCCCUUAUGACCUGGGCUACACACGUGCUACAAUGGAUGGUACAACGAGUUGCGAACUCGCGAGAGUAAGCUAAUCUCUUAAAGCCAUUCUCAGUUCGGAUUGUAGGCUGCAACUCGCCUACAUGAAGUCGGAAUCGCUAGUAAUCGCGGAUCAGCAUGCCGCGGNUGAAUACGUUCCCGGGGCCUUGUACACACCGGCCCGUCACACCAUGAAGAGUUU
This 1445-nucleotide ribosomal RNA is filed under the name Lactiplantibacillus plantarum. RNAcentral's name for it is "bacterial SSU rRNA". It matches the Rfam family "Bacterial small subunit ribosomal RNA". The record is from RNAcentral. Lineage: Bacteria; Bacillati; Bacillota; Bacilli; Lactobacillales; Lactobacillaceae.